AGUGAACGCUGGCGGUAGGCCUAACACAUGCCAGUCGAACGGCAGCACAGUAAGAGCUUGCUCUUACGGGUGGCGAGUGGCGGACGGGUGAGGAAUACAUCGGAAUCUACUUUUUCGUGGGGGAUAACGUAGGGAAACUUACGCUAAUACCGCAUACGACCUACGGGUGAAAGCAGGGGAUCUUCGGACCUUGCGCGAUUGAAUGAGCCGAUGUCGGAUUAGCUAGUUGGCGGGGUAAAGGCCCACCAAGGCGACGAUCCGUAGCUGGUCUGAGAGGAUGUACGCCCACACUGGACCUGAGACAGGGUCCAGACUCCUCGGGAGGCCAGCAGGGGGGAAUUUAGAACAGUGGGCGCAGGCUGGAUCCAGCCAUACCGCGGGGGUAAAGAAGGCCUUCGGUUGUAAAGCCCUUUUUGUGGGAAAAAAAACACAACAGUUAAAUCCCCCCGUGUUCUGAGGGUACCAAAGAAAAAAGCACCGACUAGCUUCGUG
RNAcentral lists this ribosomal RNA (492 nucleotides) under uncultured bacterium. RNAcentral's name for it is "partial 16S ribosomal RNA". It matches the Rfam family "Bacterial small subunit ribosomal RNA", at positions 29 to 507 of the family's 1533-position model. The record is from RNAcentral.